This is an RNA transcript of Arachis stenosperma, 2250 nucleotides long. RefSeq lists it as uncharacterized. Lineage: Eukaryota; Viridiplantae; Streptophyta; Magnoliopsida; Fabales; Fabaceae. The transcript is spliced from 3 exons. The record is from RefSeq and is a predicted model, not a curated record.
GUAGCUCACACGUAUGACGUUUUAAUCUACCAUUCAUUCACAUAGAACAAACCCUAAGUAGACGGCGAUGGAACCAUGUGGAUCCUUGUUUUUCUGCAGCACCGAUUUCUGCAACCCUAACUGGAUAAUUUUUUCGUACUGGUAAAGACAACAGAAAUUGAGUAGUUGCUGCGGCACCAUUUAUAACACAACUUCAUAUAGCAUCUCAAAAUGAAGGAACUAAACAGUGAUGAAGCAAGAAGAAAAUGGAGCAAGAAAAUAUUGAAGAAAAGAAUGCCAUGCACGUUGCUAACGCCCAUAAGCCUUGCCAUGCACGUUGCCAACGCCAGGAAGCAAACAUGGAGCCUUGAGAAAGGCUCGAGCACGUUGCCAACGUGCUGAAGAGAAGGAGUGUUCAUCAACAACGCCAGGAUGGUGAGGAAAUUGUGAUGCACGUUGCUAACUUGGAAUGUAGGGGCGUUAUCCACAACAACUCCAACAAGGCAGCCUGACCAUGUCCUCUUCAAUGGAAGAUAUCUUGAGUUAUAGAGGUCCAAAUUGAGUGCUUCCAAUUGCAUUGGAAAGCUGACAUUUAGAGCUUUCCAACCAUAUAUAAUAGUCUAUAGUGGAGCAUGAAAUGGAAGCUCGAAUCAGAGUCAUCUUUAGGCCCCAAAAACAAGGAAAUGAGGUUGAAAUUCAAGGAAGCAUGAGUAGGCCAAGGAGGGGGAGUCGAACACGUUGCCAGGGCCAAAAUGAACUGGCGUGUUCCUUGGCAACUCCAGCAACAACGCCCAGGCCAAGAAAUUUGGGCUAGGGGCGUUGUUGAGCACGUUAUUGGUGGCGUUAUCCACAAAAACGCCCAACCAGGGCAGCCUGACCUUGCCAUCUUCAAUGGAGCAUAACUUGAGCUAGGAAAGUCCAAAUGAGGUGAUUCUAGUGGCAUUGGAAAGUAGACAUCAAGAGCUUUCCAAUGAUAUAUCAUAGUUCAUAUUUAAGCAAAGGAUUGAAGCUCAAAGUUUAGGCAACAUUAAGCAUGAAAAGUGAAACCAAGAAGAAGAGCCAAGUGUUUGGCAAUAACUUGGGCUAGCAACGCCUAUCACCAAGCCCCAGCCCAGGAAACCCAUGAGCACGUUGCCAACGUGCAAUAACAUUGGCGUGUUUGCCAAUAACGCUUGUUCACUGGGCCAGAAUUGAUGUGAACAAGCUUUGCUUCCUCUGUUUUCCUUAAAAGGGCAGCAACUCCACUCAUGAGCUAGCUAACCUCAAGCAAGAAAAACCCAUAAAUCUCAAUCAAUCAAGGCCACAAGAAUCAUCUAGAAUAGUUGAUUUUCAUUUAAUUGUAAUUUGCUUUUAAUUUCAUUUCAAUUGGUAAUUUAGAAAAGCCUAUAUAAAGGCCAUAGUCUCAUAGCAUUAGGAGGUUGGAUUGGGGGGGAUACGGAGGAGACCAAUUUGAAAUUCUGUGAAUUGGCACACUCCAUUGAGAGUGGGUCUUCGGACCCCUCCCCUUCAUACACUCUUCUUCACUUCCCCUUCUCUUCUUCCUUAGUAGUAGUGUAGUUUAAUUUGUAGUUUUCAUUUAUGAAUUCUUGAAUUCUCAAUUUCUGUUUUGAAGUCACUCUUUAUUUUCAUACACUUUAGUUUCAUGCAAUUCAGUUUUCAAUUGGAGCUAUGAUUCACUAAACCCCACCUUCAUUAGGGGGAAGAGCUCUGCUUGUUGGAAUGGAUUGGUGAACUCAUCUUCUCCUCCUCAAUUCUAGUGGUUGAUCUAAAGAGGGAACUCUUGCUCUUCAUAGAUUCAACCACCAUCGAGAGAGGGGUUAAUCUACAUGAAUUAUGUGGUGAAUUUGAGGAAUGAGCCACAUAAUUCAGUUUAGAGUUCAUCCUUUCAUGAUUUCUUUAAUCAAUAUACCUUGGUUAGUAUGUGAGAUGUAACUCUCCUUGGUUGAGAUUAUAGGAAUUGUGUGGCUGGAUUAGAUUUGAGCUUCAUCUCUUCUCAUGAACAAUUAGAUCACGAGAGUGGCAAUUGGUUAUGUUGAGAGAGAUUGAAUCACCAAGAGAUUGGGAUUCAAUCACCCACUUGCCAUGGAUCUAUACCCAUGAUUGAGGAAGAUUUGACUAACAUCAAUUCAUGAAAACUAGCAUCUCUGAUCCCUAAUGAUCCUCUCUAUCAUUAAUUCUUAUUUCUCUUGUUCUUAGUGUUUGAAAAUUGCCCAACUCCCUUCUACAUCCUGUCAAUUUACUAUUCUUGUUAUUACAUUCUGUUCCUUUAUU